UUUGACAUCAUGGCCAUUGGCUAGUGUGUGCAAGAAAUGUAUCCGAUUGCCAUUCGGGAACCAGUACGCUAUCUUUCCCCUAGCUCACUCUGACAUGGACUGAUAUCUAGCAAAACAUAGUUUUGCAUUUUGUGCAUUGACUCUACAUUUUAAAACAACAACAACUUUAUUGGGAUGAUGAAUGAGGAGUUUCAUUGCCUCUUUAUUUUAUGUUGCUUAGGUUCACCCCAAUUUCGUAUUGUUAAGUUCCCAGAAGAGGGCAACAGCAUAGCCAUUGUACAUUCAACAUGGAUACAAAACGGGAAAUGUUCAUGGCCAAACAAAAAGAAUCCAAGACGUCUUCAGUAGAUUACAAUGAAAGGUCUGCAGCCCCAAGCAAGUUGGCCAGCACAUGACUGCAUCGAAGUUUUUGCGUUUGAGACGUAUCAGGCGGCACGAAGAAAGCUAAGGCAAGCCGGAGAAACUUCAGACCUAUAUAGUGAACCUGACUUGGCCGAGGACAAAGAAAGAAAAAAUGCAAAGUACACAGUGACCAUGAAGUACAGCUCUCCCAAGUUGGUGCAGCACGUUCACAUCAAGCUAGCGGCAGCUCAGAAGACGAAGGAUACAGUGCACCACCCCCUCCGAGACCACCGACACCGCCUCAAUCAGCAUUUUUUGGUUCCCAAAGUUAUGCACAGCCUACCGAUGGACACACUGAA
Molecule: long non-coding RNA, 701 nt
Organism: Ornithodoros turicata
Lineage: Eukaryota; Metazoa; Arthropoda; Arachnida; Ixodida; Argasidae
Exons: 3
Source: RefSeq, a predicted model, not a curated record